UACGAAGGGGGCUAGCGUUGUUCGGAUUUACUGGGCGUAAAGGGCAUGCAGGCGGCCAGACAAGUUGGAGGUGAAAUCCCAGGGCUCAACCCUGGAACUGCCUUCAAAACUGUCAGGCUAGAGAUCGAGAGAGGUGAGUGGAAUUCCUAGUGUAGAGGUGAAAUUCGUAGAUAUUAGGAGGAACACCAGUGGCGAAGGCGGCUCACUGGCUCGAUACUGACGCUCAUAUGCGAAAGCGUGGGGAGCAAACAGG
RNAcentral lists this ribosomal RNA (253 nucleotides) under uncultured bacterium. RNAcentral's name for it is "partial 16S ribosomal RNA". It matches the Rfam family "Bacterial small subunit ribosomal RNA", at positions 524 to 776 of the family's 1533-position model. The record is from RNAcentral.